UACGUAGGGGGCAAGCGUUGUUCGGAUUCAUUGGGCGUAAAGGGUGCGUAGGCGGCGCGGUAAGUCGGGUGUGAAAUCUCGGGGCUUAACUCCGAAGCUGCAUUCGAUACUGCCGUGCUUGAGGACUGGAGAGGAGACUGGAAUUUACGGUGUAGCGGUGAAAUGCGUAGAUAUCGUAAGGAAGACCAGUGGCGAAGGCGGGUCUCUGGACAGUUCCUGACGCUGAGGCACGAAGGUCAGGGGAGCAAACGGG
RNAcentral lists this ribosomal RNA (253 nucleotides) under uncultured bacterium. Its description in RNAcentral is "partial 16S ribosomal RNA". It matches the Rfam family "Bacterial small subunit ribosomal RNA", at positions 524 to 776 of the family's 1533-position model. The record is from RNAcentral.